UUUGCUCUCGCAGCCUUUUGGCUAAGAUCAAGUGUAUUAUCUGUUCUUAUCAGUUUAAUCUUUACUAUGGACAAAUAUUAAUAAUCUUUGGCUCCUCUUAAACUCUGUAGUCAUAAUACAGGUGCUACAAUACUACUUUUUGGUGAAUUACCA
RNAcentral lists this small nuclear RNA (153 nucleotides) under Sorex araneus (European shrew). Its description in RNAcentral is "U2 spliceosomal RNA (ENSSARG00000019944.1)". It matches the Rfam family "U2 spliceosomal RNA". Rfam says of the family: U2 is a small nuclear RNA (snRNA) component of the spliceosome (involved in pre-mRNA splicing). Lineage: Eukaryota; Metazoa; Chordata; Mammalia; Eulipotyphla; Soricidae. The record is from RNAcentral.